RNAcentral lists this ribosomal RNA (332 nucleotides) under uncultured bacterium. RNAcentral describes it as "bacterial SSU rRNA". It matches the Rfam family "Bacterial small subunit ribosomal RNA", at positions 568 to 898 of the family's 1533-position model. The record is from RNAcentral.
CGUGUAGGCGGUUAGGCAAGUCAGAUGUGAAAGCCUUCCGCUUAACGGAAGAAGUGCAUUUGAAACUACCUGGCUGGAGUUCGGGAGAGGAGAGUGGAAUUCCCGGUGUAGAGGUGAAAUUCGUAGAUAUCGGGAGGAACACCGGUGGCGAGGGCGGCUCUCUGGCCCGAUACUGACGCUGAGACGCGAAAGCGUGGGGAGCAAACAGGAUUAGAUACCCUGGUAGUCCACGCCGUAAACGAUGGGCACUAGGUGUAGGAGGUAUUGACCCCUUCUGUGCCGAAGCUAACGCAUUAAGUGCCCCGCCUGGGGAGUACGGCCGCAAGGCUAAA